CGGAAACUUACUUUAAAAACAAUUACGGUUACGUGAUGUUUUGAAUAACAGUAGUUGCUUUGGAAAAUCGUGUUCUAAUACUAGCAAUUAUAAGAACAAUAAAUAAAAUUCCAAAUUUGAAAUCCAGAAAAUUACAACGGCUUUACUACAACCCACAUAAAAUGAUUUAAAGGUAAUAAUCAAAAUUGUAACAUAAACAGUGUGUGUGUGGCUUCCUCCGAGCCCCUAGCAACCCCGAUCCAUCUAAGGCUGGAAAUUACCUGAAAGGUUAAUAAACGGGGUGAGUUUAUGAAAACUCAGUGUGAAAUCCCCUACUAUAAAAAGGAACAGUCAGUCAUCUAAAGGAAUUAAAAGUCUGGCCCCAGCCUUACUUAAAUUUCAGUACCAAUCGGGUCUUAGCCCAUUACAACAGACAGUACCAGAUGGACCUUAGCCCAUUACAGAAUAAGAAACAUUAUCAGAAUUGGAACCAAAAUGAGAAUCAGAAUCAGAAUCAGAAUCAAUAUUAGUAACAGAAUCAGAAUCAGAAUCAGAAUCAGAAUUAGGUGACAGAAUCAGAAUCAGUAACAGAAUCAGAAUCAGAAUCAGUAUUAGUAACAGAAUUAGAAUUACGUGACAGAAUCAGAAUCAGAAUGUGAAUGCAAUCCCAACCCAAUCCAGCCGUAUACACCCCCGUACCAACCUUACACCAUGUGGGGAGACAACUCGACCCACCCAUUUGCUACACACCACAGAAUUUGCAGCAUGGCUGCCAGAACAGAUAUCGUGACAGAGUCACCAGAUACAUAUAUUAUGGCAGAGCCACCAGAAUUAGAUAAUGUGGCAAACCCACCUAACAGAAUACGUGGCACAAAGCCAUAGAUAACUGUAAUAACUUGGGCACAUAGCCAUCAGUGACGGUAAUAUAACUGGCGCACAGCCUUCGGUAAAUAUGAUCGACACAGAGUCGUCAACAAAUAUGUUAGGCACAUAGCUACAGGUAAAUACGUUUGGCACGAAGCCAUAUUCAAGAUGGCACAAAGCCAUAUUUAGGUUGGCACAGAGCCAUUAAUAACGGGUCUAUAAUCGGCACGAAGCCCACAACAACGGCACACAGCCUUCGGUAGCGUGAUCGGCACUUAGCCAUCGAUCGGUCAACAGAUAUUGUGACAGAGUCACCAAAUACAGAUAUUGUGGCAGAGCCACCAGAACAGAUAUUUGUGGCAUAGCCACCAGAACGCUUCCUCCGUACAAAAUCCCAACCCAUGCAACAUGUCAUGUAUGCAGAAUGUCAUGCCCAUAUUUGAAUCAAACAAUCACAGUCAAGUCAUUCAUAUCACCAACAUAUAUUCACAAUCAAAUCCGUCAAACACACAGUCUAAGUCAGUCACUUGCCCACAAGGGCAAAACAAUCAUUUAACACCCUAGGGGCAAAAUGGUAAUUUUACCCCACAAGGGUAUCUCGGUAAUUCUACCCUACAGGGGUAUUUCGGUAUUUCUACCCUACAAGGGUAUUUCGAUAAUUCUAACCAACAGGGGUAUUUUGGUAAUUCUAUCCUAUAAGGGUAUUUCAGUAAUUCUACCCUACAGGGGUAUUUCCGUAAUUUCACAAUCAAGGGUAAAAUGGUAAUUCUGUAAAUCGAGGGUAAAAGGAUAAUUUUGUAAACUGAGGGUAACCUAGUAAUUCUGUAAAUCAAGGGUAAAACGGUAAUUUUACAAAUCGAGGGUAAAACGGUAAUUCUAUAAAUCGAGGGUAAAAUAAUAAUUCUGUAAACUGAGGGUAAAACGGUAAUUUUAUAAAUCGAGGAUAAAAUUGUAAUUUUACAAAUCGAGGGUAAAAUGGUAAUUCUAUAAAUCGAGGGUAAAAUAGUAAUUCUGUAAACUGAGGGUAAAACGGUAAUUCUGUAAAUCGAAGGUAAAACGGUAAUUUUGUAAACUGAGGGUAAAAUAGUAAUUCUAUAAAUCGAGGGUAAAACGGUAAUUCUGUAAACUGAGGGUAAAAUGGUAAUUCUGUAAAUCAAGGGUAAAACGGUAAUUUUAAAAAUCAAGGGUAAAACGAUAAUUCUGUAAAUCGAGGGUAAAACGGUAAUUUUAAAAAUCGAGGGUAAAAUGGUAAUUUUGUAAAUCGAGGGUAAAACGGUAAUUCUGUAAAUCGGGAGUACUUUGGUAAUUUUACAAGUCGAGGGCAUUUUAGUAAUUGGUAAACUAAAGUAUUCUAAACAUGGAUAACAAUACAAAUGGGCCUAAAGCCUAUUCUGGGCCCAAAUGGGCCCACACGCUCGUGUGGCCCUUUUAGCCCAAACCUAGCCACAGAUAUGAGAUUCACCUAGCCUAGUCCAAUAUUUACUACACAAUCAAACAACUUAUCCAAUUGGGCCCGUAGGCCCAUUGGGCCCACAUGGCCCCUUUCGGCCUAUCGCGGCCCGAAGUAGCCAUCCAACAACAAGAGUGGUGAUAAAUACACACCUGAUUGGAGACUGGAGUUAAUCCACGCUCCGAGCACUCUUAGCCGACGCCCAACCCAAACGAGCACGCCAUAAAGCGAAAGGGAUCAGCCAAGAAAGGUACCUUUACUCUCCUCAUGGUUCUCUCUAUUUAAAGCCAGCUUCCCAUCCACUCUUAUGUUAGCUUCCCGAUGUGGGAUCCCUCCGACAUCAGAGUUUAAAUUCAACACCAACUCUUGCCGCCCCCUGUUAGCAAAAUAAAUGCUCUUUGCUUGCUAUGGGAUUCGAACCCAUGCCUCCCCUCAAAUGCUCCACACGCCACUUGCCACUAAGCCAUAAGGUUUUUUGUGUCACAAUUUCUCCAACAAUAUUCUUAAGGCCUACCUACUACACCCAGGGUUUGAUUCACCUUAAACCAAAUUUUUUGCUAGAGUCCAGGUUUAAACCCAGGACUUGUCCAACACUUCUCAACACACUUAACCACUAAAGCAAGCCUUCAUUAACGAAAUUUGCAUGCACAACAGAAUAUUAUAAGCUGCCUUCAACCGCUCCCAUGCUCAAGGCCCAAAACUUCUAGGCCCAAAUUCAGGGUGUUACAACUCUACCUCCCUUAAAGAAAUUUCGUCCUCGAAAUUUCCAUCUAACAGGGUAGUCGUGUAACAUCUACCCCACUACGCUACCGCUGCGCACUCUGAUCCUACUAUCACUAUCACACUUCAAUUAGAACUUGAAAAAUCUCAUACAUACAACACUUAUUCACUAAAGUAGACACAUAUUUAUCACACAUAUAUACAAUUUCUAUAUCCAAACAUCACAUCCACAUAAAAUAAAUACCAAAUUUAAAUUCAGACCAAUAUCUAAGGAAUCCAUAGUAUUUCAAUUUCUAAAUAGACAAAAGUAUUAAGAAGACUUACGGAUUCGGCGCCGGAGACUCGGUGUGCCACACUUUUUAAGAGAAAUACUUCAAACAGACCACGUGGUUGAAAAUAAUUUUCUAAAAUUCAACCUUUGAAAACCCAAUCCACAGCCGAGCUGUUGCAACCCAGGCUCUGAUACCACUAAAUGUAACACCCCAAACCCGGCCUGAAAGUUUGGCUCAAACUUGGCGUGUCACAUUGAAGUGUUUUUCGAAAACCAUGUUUCCAUUAAAAACCCUUCUUAAUAAUUAAAAACUUAUACCCUUUUUAAACCUUGUUAGAAAACCUCAGCUGAAUAACAUUCUUAACAACUUUGUAAAAAUCUUGGUAGUUGCGGAAACUUACUUUAAAAACAAUUGCGGUUACGUGAUGUUUUGAAUAACAGUAGUUGCUUUGGAAAAUCGUGUUCUAAUACUAGCAAUUAUAAGAACAAUAAAUAAAAUUCCAAAUUUGAAAUCCAGAAAAUUACAACGGCUUUACUACAACCCACAUAAAAUAAUUUAAAGGUAAUAAUCAAAACUGUAACAUAAACAGUGUGUGUGUGGCUUCCUCCGAGCCCCUAGCAACCCCGAUCCAUCUAAGGCUAGAAAUUACCUGAAAGGUUAAUAAACGGGGUGAGUUUACGAAAAGUCAGUGUGAAAUCCCCUACUAUAAAAAGGAACAGUCAGUCAUCUAAAAGAAUUAAAAGUCUGGCCCCAGCCUUACUUACAAUUUCAGUACCAAUCGGACCUUAGCCCAUUACAACAGACAGUACCAGAUGGACCUUAGCCCAUUACAGAAUAAGAAACAUUAUCAGAAUUGGAACCAAAAUGAGAAUCAGAAUCAGAAUCAGUAACAGAAUCAGAAUCAGAAUCAGUAACAGAAUCAGAAUCAGAAUCAGUAUUAGUAACAAAAUCAAAAUUACGUGACAGAAUCAGAAUCAGAAUGUGAAUGCAAUCCCAACCCAAUCCAGCCGUAUACACCCCGUACCAACCUUACACCAUGUGGGGAGACAACUCGACCCACCCAUCUGCUACACACCACAGAAUUUGCAGCAUGGCUACCAGAACAGAUAUCGUGACAGAGUCACCAGAUACAUAUAUUAUGGCAGAGCCACCAGAAUCAGAUAAUGUGGCAAACCCACCUAACAGAAUACGUGGCACAAAGCCAUAGAUAACUAUAAUAACUUCGACACAUAGCCAUCAGUGACGGUAAUAUAACUGGCGCACAGCCUUCGGUAAAUAUGAUCGACACAGAGUCGUCAACAAAUAUGUUAGGCACAUAGCUACAGGUAAAUACGUUUGGCACGAAGCCAUAGUCAAGAUGGCACAAAGCCAUAUUUAGGUUGGCACAGAGCCAUUAAUAACGGGUCUAUAAUCGACACGAAGCCCACAACAACGGCACAUAGCCUUCGGUAGCGUGAUCGGCACUUAGCCAUCGAUCGGUCAACAGAUAUUGUGACAGAGUCACCAAAUACAGAUAUUGUGGCAGAGCCACCAGAACAGAUAUUUGUGGCAUAGCCACCAGAACGCUUCCUCCGUACAAAAUCCCAACCCAUGCAACAUGUCAUGUAUGCAGAAUGUCAUGCCCAUAUUUGAAUCAAACAAUCACAGUCAAGUCAUUCAUAUCACCAACAUAUAUUCACAAUCAAAUCCGUCAAACAUACAGUCCAAGUUAGUCACUUGCCCACAAGGGCAAAACAGUCAUUUAACACCCUAGGGGCAAAAUGGUAAUUUUAUCCUACAAGGGUAUCUCGGUAAUUCUACCCUACAGGGGUAUUUCGGUAUUUCUACCCUACAAGGGUAUUUUGAUAAUUCUACCCUACAGGGGUAUUUUGGUAAUUCUAUCAUAUAAGGGUAUUUCAGUAAUUCUACCCAAUAGGGGUAUUUCAGAAAUUCUACCCUACAGGGGUAUUUUAGUAAUUUUACAAUCAAGGGUAAAAUGAUAAUUCUGUAAAUCGAGGGUAAAACGAUAAUUUUGUAAACUGAGGGUAACCUAGUAAUUCUAUAAAUCAAGGGUAAAACGGUAAUUUUACAAAUCGAGGGUAAAACGGUAAUUCUAUAAAUCGAGGGUAAAAUAAUAAUUCUGUAAACUGAGGGUAAAACGGUAAUUUUAUAAAUCGAGGAUAAAAUUGUAAUUUUACAAAUCGAGGGUAAAAUGGUAAUUCUAUAAAUCGAGGGUAAAAUAGUAAUUCUGUAAACUGAGGGUAAAACGGUAAUUCUGUAAAUCGAAGGUAAAACGGUAAUUUUGUAAACUGAGGGUAAAAUAGUAAUUCUAUAAAUCGAGGGUAAAACGGUAAUUCUGUAAACUGAGGGUAAAAUGGUAAUUCUGUAAAUCAAGGGUAAAACGGUAAUUUUAAAAAUCAAGGGUAAAACGAUAAUUCUGUAAAUCGAGGGUAAAACGGUAAUUUUAAAAAUCGAGGGUAAAAUGGUAAUUUUGUAAAUCGAGGGUAAAACGGUAAUUCUGUAAAUCGGGAGUACUUUGGUAAUUUUACAAGUCGAGGGCAUUUUAGUAAUUGGUAAACUAAAGUAUUCUAAACAUGGAUAACAAUACAAAUGGGCCUAAAGCCUAUUCUGGGCCCAAAUGGGCCCACACGCUCGUGUGGCCCUUUUAGCCCAAACCUAGCCACAGAUAUGAGAUUCACCUAGCCUAGUCCAAUAUUUACUACACAAUCAAACAACUUAUCCAAUUGGGCCCGUAGGCCCAUUGGGCCCACAUGGCCCCUUUCGGCCUAUCGCGGCCCGAAGUAGCCAUCCAACAACAAGAGUGGUGAUAAAUACACACCUGAUUGGAGACUGGAGUUAAUCCACGCUCCGAGCACUCUUAGCCGACGCCCAACCCAAACGAGCACGCCAUAAAGCGAAAGGGAUCA
This 6191-nucleotide long non-coding RNA is filed under the name Gossypium barbadense (sea-island cotton). RNAcentral's name for it is "long non-coding RNA (GBAR_LNC004333)". Lineage: Eukaryota; Viridiplantae; Streptophyta; Magnoliopsida; Malvales; Malvaceae. The record is from RNAcentral.